AGUGAACGCUGGCGGUAGGCCUAAUACAUGCAGGUCGAACGACCGCACAGUAAGCGUUCGCCUCUACCGUUGGCGACUGGCGGGCGGGUGAGGCGUGCAUAGCCUUCUUCUUUUUCGUGGGGGACUUCGUAGGGCCACUUCUGCUACCAGAGCAUAUAUUCUACCGCUGAAAUCAGGAGUUAUUCGCACUUUUCCUGUCUGUUUGAGCUGAUGCCGCAUUAGCUAGUUGGCUAGGUAAAGGCACACCAAGGCAACGAUACGUAGCGGGUCUGAGAGGAUGAUCGGCCACACUGGAACUGAGACACGGUCCAGACUCCUACGGGAGGCAGCAGUAGGGAAUAUUGCGCAAUGGGCGCAAGCCUGAUCCAGCCAUACCGCGUGAGUGAUGAAGGUCUUCGGAUUGUAAAGCUCUUUUGUUAGGAAAGAAAAACAGCAUAUGAAUCUCCCGCUGUUCUGACGGUACCCAAAGAGUAAGCACCGGCUAACUUCGUG
This 492-nucleotide ribosomal RNA is filed under the name uncultured bacterium. RNAcentral describes it as "partial 16S ribosomal RNA". It matches the Rfam family "Bacterial small subunit ribosomal RNA", at positions 29 to 507 of the family's 1533-position model. The record is from RNAcentral.